Long non-coding RNA from Halichondria panicea, 749 nucleotides. RefSeq lists it as uncharacterized. The transcript has 2 exons. NCBI's taxonomy places the organism in Eukaryota, Metazoa, Porifera, Demospongiae, Suberitida, Halichondriidae. The record is from RefSeq and is a predicted model, not a curated record.
GGUCAUCCUAUACAGGGGUAAGAGAAUAGAUAAACGACGGGUAGCUGCAGAAUUAGUGAGUGAAGAAUCACAGAAUCACAAAAGUUCGAAGAACGACAUUUUUAAUGAAAAAUCUAUGUAGAGAAUGCAUUCCAGACCCCAAUGACACAGUUUUACUAUCGACAAUGACCUAUACUCAGGGGCAUUAAGGACUGUCCAAAUUAAAAUUACAAGGAAUUUUGUUAUAAUAAUAUUCAUACACAAGUGUCAUCGCAUUGGAAUGUUUAUCACGUGCGUGGGUGGAAAACAUCUGCAAUUACUAGUGGGGGUGGAGCUUCGGUCACAUGACACUGUACUUAGCUUUCUGAAGUUGACCGUAGCUAGUUGAUCGUGUAGAACCCUGAAAAACUAUUUGUUGUAAGCUACCUAGUAGUUAUUAAAGGCCUUAACUAAGACUAUUAGAUAGUAGAGAACUUGUUUCCUGCUGCGCAAGACAGAGUGCAACCAAACAAGAAUGUUAGGAGGAGAUCUCGGGGACAAUUCAGGAUUUCAUCAGUAUAUGAUAUGUGCAUCAGGAUUCCAAGAAAAGAUAGGAUCUAACUAAGCUGGAACAAAUAGUUUUUUUAUAAUUUAGUUUUACAAGGAAAUUUCAUGUUAAUUGGUCACAUGAUAGUCACAUGAUCUGUUUUUUCAUUAAGGAAACUUAAAUUAUUAUGACAAAACAAAAUGUGCAAUUACUAUGUUUAAUAUUGAAUACUUUUUGAUAUAUG